RNAcentral lists this ribosomal RNA (501 nucleotides) under uncultured bacterium. RNAcentral describes it as "bacterial SSU rRNA". It matches the Rfam family "Bacterial small subunit ribosomal RNA", at positions 8 to 518 of the family's 1533-position model. The record is from RNAcentral.
AGAGUUUGAUCCUGGCUUAGGAUGAACGCUGGCGGCGCGCCUAACACAUGCAAGUCGAACGAUUAAAGCACCUUCGGGUGUGUAUAAAGUGGCGAACGGCUGAGUAACACGUGGGCAACCUACCCUUUGCACCGGGACAGCCUCGGGAAACCGGGAUUAAUACCGGAUACUCCGUGCACACCGCAUGAUGAGCACGGGAAAGCUCCGACGGCAAAGGAUGGGCCCGCGGCCUGUUAGCUUGUUGGUGGGGUAACGGCCUACCAAGGCGAUUAUGGGUAGCUGGGUUGAGAGACCGACCAGCCAGAUUGGGACUGAGACACGGCCCAGACUCCUACGGGAGGCAGCAGUGGGGAAUCUUGCACAAUGGGCGAAAGCCUGAUGCAAGCGACGCCGCGUGCGGGAUGAAGGCCUUCGGGUUGUAAACCGCUUUCAGCAGGGACGAGGCCGCAAGGUGACGGUACCUGCAGAAGAAGCCCCGGCUAACUACGUGCCAGCCGCGGC